UACGCACGCUGGCGGCGUGCUUAACACAUGCAAGUCGAACGGAAAGGCCCUGCUUUUGUGGGGUGCUCGAGUGGCGAACGGGUGAGUAACACGUGAGUAACCUGCCCUUGACUUUGGGAUAACUUCAGGAAACUGGGGCUAAUACCGGAUAGGAGCUCCUGCUGCAUGGUGGGGGUUGGAAAGUUUCGGCGGUUGGGGAUGGACUCGCGGCUUAUCAGCUUGUUGGUGGGGUAGUGGCUUACCAAGGCUUUGACGGGUAGCCGGCCUGAGAGGGUGACCGGCCACAUUGGGACUGAGAUACGGCACAGACUCCUACGGGAGGCAGCAGUGGGGAAUAUUGCACAAUGGGCGGAAGCCUGAUGCAGCAACGCCGCGUGCGGGAUGACGGCCUUCGGGUUGUAAACCGCUUUCGCCUGUGACGAAGCGUGAGUGACGGUAAUGGGUAAAGAAGCACCGGCUAACUACGUG
RNAcentral lists this ribosomal RNA (468 nucleotides) under uncultured bacterium. Its description in RNAcentral is "partial 16S ribosomal RNA". It matches the Rfam family "Bacterial small subunit ribosomal RNA", at positions 29 to 507 of the family's 1533-position model. The record is from RNAcentral.